UUUGAUUUUUGUUUGGGAAGAGAUUGACAACAACAACAACGAUUCUUAUUCCUCUAAAAAAACAACGAUUCAUAUAGCUGCAUAAAUGGUACAAGGGGAAGUCACGUUUGAGAAGAAGGGAGAAGGAAAGAUGCAGUUUUUGUUUUGCAACUGGACAAGAAAGAGAAGCCACGCUUGAGAAGAAGGGGAAAUUAAUCAUAUGGUUUUAGUAUAUUUUAAAGUUGAAAGCAUCUUAGCCGUUGGAUUUAAUCGGAUGGUUGUUAAUUACUCCUCUCAUCUCUCACUAUAACAACUCCUCUCAUUUGAUAU
RNAcentral lists this long non-coding RNA (309 nucleotides) under Medicago truncatula (barrel medic). Its description in RNAcentral is "lncRNA gene4707". Lineage: Eukaryota; Viridiplantae; Streptophyta; Magnoliopsida; Fabales; Fabaceae. The record is from RNAcentral.